RNAcentral lists this transfer RNA (66 nucleotides) under Amblyomma mixtum. RNAcentral describes it as "tRNA-Gln". Lineage: Eukaryota; Metazoa; Arthropoda; Arachnida; Ixodida; Ixodidae. The record is from RNAcentral.
UAACUUUUGGUGUAAAGCACGAAAAAUUUUGAUUUUUUAGGAAAUAAAUGAAAUUAUUAAAGUUAA